Molecule: ribosomal RNA, 465 nt
Filed under: uncultured bacterium
Lineage: Bacteria
Description: partial 16S ribosomal RNA
Rfam family: Bacterial small subunit ribosomal RNA
Source: RNAcentral
GACGAACGCUGGCGGCGUGCCUAACACAUGCAAGUCGAACGGAAAGGCCCUGCUUGCAGGGUACUCGAGUGGCGAACGGGUGAGUAAGACGCGGGUGGUCAGCCCAGCACUUCGGGAUAAGCCUGGUAAAGUGGGCGUAGUACCGGAUAUGACAUACCAUGAAGUGUGGGGGGUGGAAGGAUUUAUCGGUGUGGGUUGGGCUUGCGGCCUAUCAGCUGGUUGGUGGGGUAGUGGCCUACCAAGGCGUCGACGGGUAGCCGGCCUGAGAGGGUGGACGGCCACCUUGGGCCUGCGAUACGGCCCAGACUCCUACGGUAGGCAGCAGUGGGGAAUAUUGCACAAUGGGCCGACGCCUGAGGCAGCGACGCCGCGUGGGGGAUGACGGCCUUCGGGUUGUAAACCUCUUUCGACGGGGACGAAGCUUUGGUGACGGUACCUGUAUAAGAAGCACCGGCUAACUACGUG